Molecule: ribosomal RNA, 474 nt
Filed under: uncultured bacterium
Lineage: Bacteria
Description: bacterial SSU rRNA
Rfam family: Bacterial small subunit ribosomal RNA
Source: RNAcentral
CGCCAGACUCCUACGGGAGGCAGCAGUGGGGAAUCUUCCGCAAUGGGCGCAAGCCUGACGGAGCAAUGCCGCGUGAACGAAGAAGGUCUUCGGAUUGUAAAGUUCUGUCCUUAUCGAAGAGAGGGUAUAGAGUGAAAAAUGAUAUACUAGGACGGUAGAUGAGGAGGAAGCACCGGCUAACUCCGUGCCAGCAGCCGCGGUAAUACGGAGGGUGCAAGCGUUACUCGGAAUCACUGGGCGUAAAGAGCGCGUAGGCGGGAUAGCAAGUCAGAUGUGAAAUCCUAUGGCUUAACCAUAGAACUGCAUUUGAAACUGUUAUUCUAGAGUAUGGGAGAGGUAGGUGGAAUUCUUGGUGUAGGGGUAAAAUCCGUAGAGAUCAAGAGGAAUACUCAUUGCGAAGGCGACCUGCUAGAACAUAACUGACGCUGAUGCGCGAAAGCGUGGGGAGCAAACAGGAUUAGAUACCCCCGUAAU